GGGCGUCAUUGCCAGCAGUUUCGAGAUUGGGAACCUGGCCCUCAUCCUCUUUGUGAGCUACUUCGGAGCCCGAGGACACCGGCCACGCUUGAUAGGAUGUGGAGGGAUAGUCAUGGCCUUGGGUGCCCUCCUUUCCGCGUUGCCUGAAUUUCUGACCCACCAGUACGAAUACGAAUCAGGAGAAAUACGCUGGGGGGCUGAAGGGAGGGAUGUGUGUGCUGCCAACGGGUCCACCAGUGAUGAGGGACCAGACCCGGACCUUAUCUGCAGGAAUAGGACUGCUACCAACAUGAUGUACUUGCUGCUCAUUGGAGCACAGGUCCUCCUGGGCAUUGGUGCUACCCCUGUCCAGCCCCUGGGAGUUUCCUACAUUGAUGACCACGUGAGGCGGAAAGAUUCCUCCCUCUACAUAGGGAUCCUGUUUACGAUGCUGGUAUUUGGACCAGCUUGUGGAUUUAUCUUGGGCUCCUUCUGUACCAAAAUCUAUGUGGAUGCUGUCUUCAUUGACACAAGUAAGCUGGACAUAACCCCAGACGACCCUCGGUGGAUCGGUGCGUGGUGGGGAGGCUUCCUGCUGUGUGGUGCCUUACUCUUCUUCUCGUCCCUGCCGAUGUUUGGGUUCCCGCAGUCCUUGCCGCCACGGCCGGAGCACACUGGAGAGAGCGAGCAGGCCAUGCUUCCCGAGAGGGACUACGAGAGACCCAAGCCAAGCAACGGGGUCUUGCGGCAUGCGCUGGACGGGGAGAGCAGCACAACCUGCUUCCAGCAACUGCGAGUGAUCCCCAAAGUAACUAAGCACUUGCUCUCCAAUCCUGUCUUCACCUGUAUCAUCCUGGCAGCCUGCAUGGAGAUCGCAGUGGUGGCUGGCUUCGCCGCCUUCCUGGGAAAAUACCUGGAGCAGCAGUUCAACCUCACCACCUCAUCUGCCAACCAGCUCCUGGGGAUGACAGCAAUCCCAUGCGCGUGUCUGGGCAUAUUCCUGGGUGGCCUCUUGGUGAAGAAGCUCAGCCUGUCUGCUCUGGGAGCCAUCAGGAUGGCCAUGCUGGUGAACCUGGUGUCCACAGCUUGCUAUGUGUCUUUCCUGUUCCUGGGAUGCGACACAGGACCUGUGGCAGGGGUUACUGUUCCCUAUGGAAACAACUCAACUCCAACCUCAUCUCUGGACCCAUAUUCCCCCUGCAAUAACAACUGUGAAUGCCAAACUGAUUCCUUCACUCCAGUCUGUGGGGCAGAUGGGGUCACAUACUUAUCUGCCUGCUUUGCUGGCUGCAGCAGCACGAACCUCAGUGGCUGUUCGUGCCUCACCUCGGUCCCUGCCGAAAAUGCCACCGUCGUUCCCGGCAAAUGCCCCAGCCCCGGCUGUGAAGAGGCCUUCUUGACAUUCCUCUGCGUGAUGUGCGUUUGCAGCAUGAUUGGGGCCAUGGCGCAGACGCCGUCAGUCAUCAUCCUCAUCAGAACCGUGAGCCCCGAACUCAAGUCCUACGCUUUGGGGGUGCUUUUCCUGCUGCUCCGUUUGCUAGGUUUUAUCCCACCUCCGCUGAUCUUUGGGGCUGGAAUUGACUCCACAUGUCUGUUCUGGAGCACGUUCUGCGGCGAGCAAGGAGCCUGCGCGCUGUAUGACAACGUGGUCUAUAGAUACCUGUAUGUUAGUAUUGCUAUAGCCCUGAAGUCUUUUGCAUUCAUCUUAUAUACAACCACCUGGCAGUGCUUGAGGAAAAACUAUAAAAGAUACAUCAAGAACCACGAAGGUGGUCUCAGCACUAGUGAGUUUUUUGCCUCUACUCUCACCCUAGACAAUCUGGGGCGGGACUCGGUGCCCCAAAAUCAAUCACAUAGGACAAAAUUUAUCUAUAACCUUGAAGAUCAUGAGUGGUGUGAAAAUAUGGAGUCUGUUUUAUAGUGACUGUGGAGGGGUGAACUAUAUUAAUAAUACAAGGGUCCUUUUUAAUAAAAACAAGAAAAGAGCACGAAUUAAGAAACACAACUGCAAAACAACAACAGCAACACAGGAAACUUUUGUCUUUUUCUCAAAGUCAGACCCAGCCAGGAUUCUUGAGAACAGCAUCUUUUAAUGGAAUCACUUGUGACACCCUGCAGAGUGAUGGAGAAAGCAGGGAGCCGCUGUGGCUGGGGACCAGCCCCUUUGAUGACAGUACGAGCUUCCAAGAAGGGCAACUGCGGAGGUUCAUCGGAGAGCUCGGCAAACGGACAGGAUUGGGCAUGAGGCAUAGAGAAGUGUGGCAUCGCACAAAUGUCAGUGCAUUUACCCCUCAAUGUAAACUGCAUCUCAGUGCUAUGUUUUUGGUGCCUCACAACUCUUAACUGUGUGAACUUGAAAGGAAGAAGUGACCCCUGUUCUUCGCCCGUGAUGCUUUCUGCCUGACUGGAGGAUGACGAUCCCUCUUGAAGACUCAUCAGACUCAUCAGCCAUUUUCCUAAAGUCUUACGCGCAGUGGGACUAAAACUGUGCUCUGUUGAUUGCAGGUGUCCUAUAAGCUGUGCUCAGAGGUCUGUAGCCUGUCUGCAGCCCCACAUUGCCUUCACGAUGUUUCCAGUGCAAAGCAUGGUGAUGAGGCUAUGCAUAACUGUCCCUGACAAAUGUCAGGGGUUGCCAGCGGUCUGUGACCACCAAAGUUUAGGAGUCUCCAUAUUAGCACAUGAAAGCAGCUCCCAUCAUCUACAGUUGAGAAGGAGCCAUCUCAGAGCAGGGUGCAGUGGAAUUCUGCAGCAGCGCUGGGAUCCUGCGGAAGGGAGCUUUCGGUUUGCUUUGGUACCACGUCUGUGGGGAGGAGGGGUGGGGAGGGGAGCAGGGGAACAGCUGUGACCUUUUAAAACCCAUAGUGCCUACCACUGCAAAUGGAACGCUGUAUUGUAUUAUAUUAUACAUGACUACCGUGUAAAUAAAGUACAAUAAAUGUGGUGUUUGUUAGGAUUUUGAUACAAGUCAAAUGCAGUCUGCAGAAAUACUUUCUUUUCCCUGCUGUAUGUACUUAUAUCACAUUCCAGGCGUGGGGACCUUUGUGGCUGUGUGAGCUAGAAAUGCAUAAAUAGCAUUAGAUGGGAAAUGUUUGCAAUAAGAAACUCUUAAAAUUCCCUUCGCCCUGUAUAGAUGAGACACAGGCACCAUAUGAAAACCAGCCAGAGUGGAGGCAGCUUAAAUAUGCAGGAGAGCAGCUCUUGACUUGACAUGAUCUGUAAGCAGAAGCGACAGUGUUGCCCAGCCAGUCCUUGGCCAUGCUUCACUCAUGAUGGAGGGAGAGCAAAGUUUUAGUUUGGCUGGUUUAUCUUUGCUUGUUUUCCUGAUGCAGAGGUUGAUCAGGAGCAUAUGCCUUGCCUGUGAAACCUGGUUAUUCUCCACCCUUGAGAUCCCUUAGCAGCAGCAAACUUGAGAGCUUAAAAUUCAAAGCAGAUUGGGAAAGAACUUCUCCUGUUCUUAAAUCAACCAGCUGGCCCUUCUGUGGCUCUGACACACAUUGAGGGGCUUUUUUUUUUUUUUGGCUAAUAAGAAUAUUAGGAACUUAACUUUGUUCCUUAACUCACUCCUUUCUCCAUCCUCAUGUUUCUCCAUGGUGUAAUAACAGAAUUAACACAUUUCAGGGAGACCGGUCUGCCACGUGCCCUCCCAAUCCUGAUACACCUCUUAACUAGGCUCUUGGUGAGAAUUUUCUCCAGUUUAGAGAAGCUCAGGAAUUCUCCGGCAAGUGUUUGUGGCUGGUGUGUGGAUGUAAUCUUCCAUUGGUGUGUGGAGGGCGCUUCCAUGUUGAUUGUCUUUUUGGAGGAACAAGACCACCCCAUGCAGUUUGUCACACCUAUGGCUCGAAACUCCCCCACAGAGCUCACAAUAUUGGAGGAGUAUCCACCUGCCUCUGUACCAGACCAGUCAGUGAUGUUUGUCCCUCAUGUCACUCAUGUUCUUCAUAGUCACCUGGGCAGAGCAGCAUUUGUGGGUGUUUGUAUGUGAAGAAGGACAUCUCCACAGAUGGUCUGUAGCAGCGUGCAUGGCACCUGGAUGAGCCUAGGUACCUCUACCCUGCCUGGGGCUGUAGGUUGGUCUUUUCCUACAGUGCCCAAGGGAAAGUGGUCCUCGGAAAGGUCUUUGAAGUGUGCAGGCUUGACUGCUGGUAAUUUUGCAGAUGCUUAACAGCACUUCCAAAAUAAACCAAAACCUGGUUUGAAAAAGGAAAUGUUUCACUGUACGAUUGAUUU
This is an RNA transcript of Athene cunicularia (burrowing owl), 4206 nucleotides long. It is a transcript of the gene named solute carrier organic anion transporter family member 3A1, with no coding region annotated. The record is from RefSeq and is a predicted model, not a curated record. The transcript is spliced from 10 exons. Lineage: Eukaryota; Metazoa; Chordata; Aves; Strigiformes; Strigidae.